GUCUAUGGCCACACCACCCUGCAUGGCCCGAUCUCAUCUGGUCUUAGAUACUAAGCAGGGUGGGGCCUGAUUAGUUAGUACUUGGAUGGAGGCAGAUC
RNAcentral lists this ribosomal RNA (98 nucleotides) under Castor canadensis (American beaver). The record is from RNAcentral. Lineage: Eukaryota; Metazoa; Chordata; Mammalia; Rodentia; Castoridae.